RNAcentral lists this long non-coding RNA (1491 nucleotides) under Oncorhynchus kisutch (coho salmon). RNAcentral's name for it is "lncRNA (ENSOKIG00005047892.1)". Lineage: Eukaryota; Metazoa; Chordata; Actinopteri; Salmoniformes; Salmonidae. The record is from RNAcentral.
AUGACAUUAAUGUACGCCAAUUAUGCACUAUCUACAAAUAUUUAUACAGCCCAGACAGUUUACUUAAACCCUUCAAUUGACUCUUCCAGGUUAAUUCUGAAAUCCACCGAAAUAACACAAGACCUCAUAUUGCCAGGUCGCUGUCAGACAUGGAGGUACCAUACCCUGGAAUUCUUAUCUUCACAUUGCCAGGUCACUGUCAGACAUGGAGGUACCAUACCCUGGAAUUCUUAUCUUCACAUUGCCAGGUCACUGUCAGACAUGGAGGUACCAUACCCUGGAAUUCUUAUCUUCACAUUGCCAGGUCACUGUCAGACAUGGAGGUACCAUACCCUGGAAUUCUUAUCUUCACAUUGUCAGGUCGCUGUCAGACAUGGAGGUACCAUACCCUGGAAUUCUUAUCUUCACAUUGCCAGGUCACUGUCAGACAUGGAGGUACCAUACCCUGGAAUUCUUAUCUUCACAUUGCCAGGUCGCUGUCAGACAUGGAGGUACCAUACCCUGGAAUUCUUAUCUUCACAUUGCCAGGUCACUGUCAGACAUGGAGGUACCAUACCCUGGAAUUCUUAUCUUCACAUUGCCAAGUCACUGUCAGACAUGGAGGUACCAUACCCUGGAAUUCUUAUCUUCACAUUGCCAGGUCGCUGUCAGACAUGGAGGUACCAUACCCUGGAAUUCUUAUCUUCACAUUGCCAGGUCGCUGUCAGACAUGGAGGUACCAUACCCUGGAAUUCUUAUCUUCACAUUGCCAGGUCGCUGUCAGACAUGGAGGUACCAUACCCUGGAAUUCUUAUCUUCACAUUGCCAGGUCACUGUCAGACAUGGAGGUACCAUACCCUGGAAUUCUUAUCUUCACAUUGCCAAGUCACUGUCAGACAUGGAGGUACCAUACCCUGGAAUUCUUAUCUUCACAUUGCCAGGUCGCUGUCAGACAUGGAGGUACCAUACCCUGGAAUUCUUAUCUUCACAUUGCCAGGUCGCUGUCAGACAUGGAGGUACCAUACCCUGGAAUUCUUAUCUUCACAUUGCCAGGUCGCUGUCAGACAUGGAGGUACCAUACCCUGGAAUUCUUAUCUUCACAUUGCCAGGUCACUGUCAGACAUGGAGGUACCAUACCCUGGAAUUCUUAUCUUCACAUUGCCAAGUCACUGUCAGACAUGGAGGUACCAUACCCUGGAAUUCUUAUCUUCACAUUGCCAGGUCGCUGUCAGACAUGGAGGUACCAUACCCUGGAAUUCUUAUCUUCACAUUGCCAGGUCGCUGUCAGACAUGGAGGUACCAUACCCUGGAAUUCUUAUCUUCACAUUGCCAGGUCGCUGUCAGACAUGGAGGUACCAUACCCUGGAAUUCUUAUCUUCACAUUGCCAGGUCGCUGUCAGACAUGGAGGUACCAUACCCUGGAAUUCUUAUCUUCACAUUGCCAGGUCACUGUCAGACAUGGAGGUACCAUACCCUGGAAUUCUUAUCUUCACAUUGCCAGGUCAUUUAUAA